Molecule: ribosomal RNA, 468 nt
Filed under: uncultured bacterium
Lineage: Bacteria
Description: partial 16S ribosomal RNA
Rfam family: Bacterial small subunit ribosomal RNA
Source: RNAcentral
GACGGACGCUGGCGGCGUGCUUAACACAUGCAAGUCGAACGGAAAGGCCCUGCUUUUGUGGGGUGCUCGAGUGGCGAACGGGUGAGAAACACGUGAGUAACCUGCCCUUGACUUUGGGAUAACUUCAGGAAACUGGGGCUAAUACCGGAUAGGAGCUCCUGCUGCAUGGUGGGGGUUGGAAAGUUUCGGCGGUUGGGGAUGGACUCGCGGCUUAUCAGCUUGUUGGUGGGGUAGUGGCUUACCAAGGCUUUGACGGGUAGCCGGCCUGAGAGGGUGACCGGCCACAUUGGGACUGAGAUACGGCCCAGACUCCUACGGGAGGCAGCAGUGGGGAAUAUUGCACAAUGGGCGGAAGCCUGAUGCAGCAACGCCGCGUGCGGGAUGACGGCCUUCGGGUUGUAAACCGCUUUCGCCUGUGACGAAGCGUGAGUGACGGUAAUGGGUAAAGAAGCACCGGCUAACUACGUG